AGCAUAUCAAUAAGCGGAGGAAAAGAAACCAACAGGGAUUGCCCUAGUAACGGCGAGUGAAGCGGCAACAGCUCAAAUUUGAAAUCUGGCUCUUUCAGAGUCCGAGUUGUAAUUUGCAGAGGGCGCUUUGGCUUUGGCAGCGGUCCAAGUUCCUUGGAACAGGACGUCACAGAGGGUGAGAAUCCCGUACGUGGUCGCUAGCUAUUGCCGUGUAAAGCCCCUUCGACGAGUCGAGUUGUUUGGGAAUGCAGCUCUAAAUGGGAGGUAAAUUUCUUCUAAAGCUAAAUAUUGGCCAGAGACCGAUAGCGCACAAGUAGAGUGAUCGAAAGAUGAAAAGCACUUUGGAAAGAGAGUCAAACAGCACGUGAAAUUGUUGAAAGGGAAGCGCUUGCAGCCAGACUUGCUUGCAGUUGCUCAUCCGGGCUUUUGCCCGGUGCACUCUUCUGUAGGCAGGCCAGCAUCAGUUUGGGCGGUGGGAUAAAGGUCUCUGUCACGUACCUCUCUUCGGGGAGGCCUUAUAGGGGAGACGACAUACCACCAGCCUAGACUGAGGUCCGCGCAUCUGCUAGGAUGCUGGCGUAAUGGCUGUAAGCGGCCCGU
RNAcentral lists this ribosomal RNA (600 nucleotides) under Drechslera euphorbiae. RNAcentral describes it as "partial large subunit ribosomal RNA". It matches the Rfam family "Eukaryotic large subunit ribosomal RNA", at positions 37 to 652 of the family's 3401-position model. The record is from RNAcentral. Lineage: Eukaryota; Fungi; Ascomycota; Dothideomycetes; Pleosporales; Pleosporaceae.